This 1043-nucleotide ribosomal RNA is filed under the name uncultured bacterium. Its description in RNAcentral is "bacterial SSU rRNA". It matches the Rfam family "Bacterial small subunit ribosomal RNA", at positions 17 to 1122 of the family's 1533-position model. The record is from RNAcentral.
UCCUGGCUCAGAUUGAACGCUGGCGGUAUGCUUAACACAUGCAAGUCGGACGGCAGCAUGGUGUGUAGCAAUACACACUGAUGGCGAGUGGCGGACGGGUGAGAAACGCGUAGGAAUCUGCCUUAUAGAGGGGGACAACUAGAGGAAACUCUAGCUAAUACCGCAUAAUGUCUACGGACCAAACGCUGGGGCAACCUGGCGCUAUAAGAGGAGCCUGCGUCUGAUUAGCUAGUUGGUAGGGUAAAGGCCUACCAAGGCGAUGAUCGGUAGCUGGUCUGAGAGGAUGAUCAGCCACACUGGGACUGAGACACGGCCCAGACUCCUACGGGAGGCAGCAGUGGGGAAUAUUGGACAAUGGGGGCAACCCUGAUCCAGCAAUACCGCGUGUGUGAAGAAGGCCUUCGGGUUGUAAAGCACUUUAGGUUGGGAAGAAGGUGUAUUGUUUAAGAGAUGAUACAUUUGACUGUACCAACAGAAUAAGCACCGGCUAACUCUGUGCCAGCAGCCGCGGUAAUACAGAGGGUGCAAGCGUUAAUCGGAGUUACUGGGCGUAAAGGGCGCGUAGGCGGUUAUGUAAGUGAGAUGUGAAAGCCCUGGGCUUAACCUAGGAACUGCAUCUUAUACUGCAUAACUGGAGUACUGUAGAGGGUAGUGGAAUUUCCGGUGUAGCGGUGAAAUGCGUAGAGAUCGGAAGGAACACCAGUGGCAAAGGCGGCUACCUGGACAGAAUACUGACGCUGAGCGCGAGAGCGUGGGGAGCAAACAGGAUAGAUACCCUGGUAGUCCACGCUGUAAACGAUGAGACUAGAUGUCGUAGCUUGACUGCUAGUAUCGAGCUACGCGAUAGUCUCCGCUGGGGAGUACGGCCGCAGUAAACUGAGAUCGACGGGACCGCCAGCGGUGACAUGUGGUAUCAUGCACGCGAGACUUACUACUUGACUUCAAGACUUGGCAAUUGGAUGGCCAAGAACUUGGACGGUCUCAUGGCGUGCCUCACCUGGUUGGAUUUUGUAUCCGUAACGCCACCUUACUUUAUUGCCUAC